Molecule: long non-coding RNA, 6031 nt
Filed under: Podarcis lilfordi (Lilford's wall lizard)
Lineage: Eukaryota; Metazoa; Chordata; Lepidosauria; Squamata; Lacertidae
Source: RNAcentral
GCCCACUUCCCCAUACUUUGCUACUUGAACACUUUUCAUCAGCUGGCUCACUUCUGAGGUAAGUUAGGACAGGGGUGGGGAACCUCAGACCUGAGGCAGGGCCACAUGCAAUCCUUGUGUCAUCUCCGUCUGUCUCUUGUUUGAACCCCCUCUUCCUAGGCUGCACCUUUCAUUGCCCCCUGUCUUUUUGCCUGUCUGGAAUGUGCCCUUGAAUCCUUAUAAUGUCUCUGGCCUGUCUGGAUGGAGGAUACAGAAAGGUGCAUGAGUGUGUAUUGAAAUUAACUUACAUUGCAGACAUAAAAUUUACAUUGGUUUCUCUUAGCUCUUUUGCCUCUUACCCUUGCCCACCACUGGCAUGUGGCCCUCAGAAUGUUGUCCACAAAGGCAUGUGGCCCCCAGGCUGAAAUAGGUUCCCCACCCUAAGUUACAGUUAGUACGUAAGGUGGGGUGGCAGAUGGGGUUUCACUAUGUGCUCCAUUUAGUGAUACUGACCCUACUUUAUACACAAACCAGAAAUUGCAUGUUUAGUGAACUCAUGCAGGUGUGUUUUGACCUUGGGUGACAGAUAUUUGGGGCUGUCCAAAGUCUCUCUCACACACUCAUUCUUUAGCAGAACUUAAAAUCAGUGUAGGUAUGACUAGUCUCUGGGCCCAUUUCAUAAUAUUGACCACAGGAUCUCCCAACCCUAUACAAAGCACUGUUUUGGAACAAUAAUUUGUGAUGGUGUAUAUAAAAAACAAACACAAACCAAUUUAUGCAAAUGCCUCCCGAGAUGAUUUGGAAAUAAGUGCAUAGGACACCUUUUAAUGUUAAUAACAAGAUGCAGAAAUUAAACCCACGUGGGAUUGGGUUGAUGAAAAGCAAGAGGAAGUUGUCGGCAGAAGCGGGUGUGUAGCAUAUCCAAAUUUCACCUCAGUAAACAAAUUUUGCAGGGCUUUUUAUGUUUUUUUAGUUCAACCUGCCGGACAUGCUUGACUAGAAUUUGCAUUAGGAUAAAAGAAACAUGUAUGAACACUAAUAAUACUAAUGCUAAUGCUACUAAUAAUUUAUUUCUUAUAUCCCGCCCAUCUGACUGGGUUACCCCAGCCGCUUUCGGUGGCUUCCAACAAAAAUACAGGGGUACCCAAAACAGGGCUGCCUUCAGAUGUCACAUAGACAUCUGUGGACUCCUUCAAACCACUUCAAUCUGUUUCCAGACUGUGUGUCAGGGACAAGCUGGUUUUUGAGGUUGCAGGGGAGUACAUUUGUCUCCUGCUCCAUGUGGUAAUGAACAUGAUAUUAGAAUGCAUAUGCCUGUGGGGAGGGAGAAUGUCAUGCUAUUCUUAUUAGAUCAUUUCCCCCUGGAGCUGUAACAUGCAAAAGGUAAGGUCAGAAGUUGGAAUUAGUGCUGUGUCCAGCAAGUGAACUAAAAGCUCUCAUUUCCUUAGGGUUUGUGCUGUAUCUAUACGUAUAACUCUGCAGGAAGUCACGUGGCAUUCUGCUGGAGGGUUUUGGUGUCCUUUGUCUGUCCCCAAAACACACAGAAGUGUAGGAGUGUGAGAGAGAGGAUUUUUUAAUGCCACAAGGAUAAUGGUUGAGGCAUAUGAAUGCUAUCCAGAAGGAGAGUCCUUGAAUUGAACAAGUGCUCCCUUAGGUCUGUGCAAUGCCCUUCCACAAAUCAACUUAAUUUCAGGGCUGUUGUAGGUUUUUUGUUGUUUGUUUCAAUCUGCACAAAGACUUGAGGCUAAAAAUGAAUGAAGCUGCAAAGUCAUGUUCAGGACACAUUGGGCACUGGUGAUGGAACCAAGAAUAAAAAGCAAAUGACAAGUUCUGGAACUGUGGGGGGAGAGAAAGGAAAACCCUUAUGUUGGGGCAGAACAUUCCGUAAGGCAAUAUACUGUGAAGGAAUAAAAACAUGUGUUUGUGUGUGAUGUGACCAGAAAUCCUGACCUUCAGAAUGUCCCUGUUAACACAGAAAAUGGAACAGUUGUAAAGCACAAAGAAAUAUAAACAAGUUUGCCUGCACUUGAUUCACAAGCCUAGUUCUCUCAAAUAGCAGAUGAGGAAGUGAACCUGUUUCAUGACUGUAGCACUUCAGACUGCAGGUGGGGCCUGGCAUAAUUGAAUGCACUUCAAGCUAAAUGUCAGAGAGAGGAGUUCCAUCCUAACUUUUUACCUAAUACCGUAUUUUUCGCUCUAUAACACGCACCCGACCAUAACACGCAUGUAGUUUUUAGAGGAGGAAAAUCCGUAGGCAUGCCACCCGUAGGCAUUCCCUCCAUAACACGCACAGACAUUUCCCCUUACUUUCUAGGAGGAAAAAAGUGAGGGUUAUGGUGCAAAAAAUACGGUAGUUUUCUAUGUGUAGGGAAUGUUUAUGUACUGAGGUGUGUUCAAGCAUGUGAGACACCAUGUGAAACAGUACUGUCUAGUAUUAGGUUGUCCACUCUAUCUGUUCUUUGAGAGAACAGGUUCUAAUCUACUAUUGUGAUUUUGGGGCACAGGGGGUUAGACUUUAUGCCUGUGUCCCCUUCUAAUUCUUGGAUCCAGCAAGGAAUCAAUUGCUGGAAUAGCCAGGCCAGCUUUUUGGCAAGGUGAUGGCCCCUUAAGUAUGGGCCAUUCAGGUAACAAAUGAAGUGGCUCUGUGCCAGAGAACAAAUGGAUGAGCCCCUCUUCUUCACCUGGCAGUUGGUUGGAAGGACAAUUGUCAGAGGGGUGUGUGGCUGUGCAACACCUCUCCCAAAUGCGAGACCACAAAUUUCUUUAAAAUAUUGGAUUAAUCCAAAAUUAAAUGACCUUUAGGGCUGUCAAAACAGUUCUUUCAGAAUUCAACCAUCACCCCUUACAGGGCCAGUUAAUCCUAUCUGCUCCUUUGGUAGGUCACACAUAUUUCAAAUAUCAAAAACACCUGACACGCUGUUGAUAAACUGAAUAUUAACUAACAUUUUUCUUCCAGGGUGAAUUAAUCUAACCACUGAAUAAAUGGACUGAAAUCUUGACUAAUUAACGUUUUGUCAGUGUGACAGGAGAAACUAUGGAGCAUUUUAAGUUGUCUUACUGGGUUAGCUCAUGCAUGUAGCCCUGCCAGGGAAAUAUGUCAAUGUGAACAACCUCCAGCUUACUUGUAUUUGCCUGUAGGAAGUAGUGUGAGUGAAUCACAUGUAUGCCACAUGCCACAAUUGCAGCAGUCCUUUUUUGUAACUAGGCAAGACAUUCACAUGGAGGGGAUUUGGUGGCAGGGCUGCUCAUGGGUCAUGCAUAUCAUAGAAAUGUACCUGCUACUACCAGAAGUCUACAGGCCUUAACUGCAUUUGCUAGGAGCAGCAGCCACUUGAAUGAACGUUCCAUGGUUGUCCCUAGCAACCACUUGGGCCUAUAGACAUCCCUCUCGGCUAAAGCCUGUGGUAUUUAUGACUGUGAAAUUUCAUUAGGAACAUAGUUCACACUGUCCAUAGUUUCCUACUCAGGAUAUUUGGGGUCCCAUAGCAGGAAAUAGGAUGAAUGUAUCAAGUGAUUCAUGAUGCCUUUUGCUUAUAAACUUCCAUAGGCAAUUUGACAGUUCACUGUAUAUAAAUGUGGAAACAGAUGUUUUAGUUGCCAUCACAGAGAAUCUUCUCUCUGCUACUUUCUGAAUGGGAGCACAUUCCCAGUUCUUCACAUCUUUCUUUAACAUGCUGUUUGGAAUCUUUAUUGGUUUGAAAAAUUCAGAUAUGAUUGUAGCUCCCUAUUUUUGAAAAUUAAGCAAUCCUGUUAUGCUAAUUAAGGGUGAUGAGGUCUUGUUAUUUCUUGAUCAGUAAUGCACAGAGCAGCUUCUGAAGAUUUUAAGAGACUCAGUUCAGACAAACAGCGGCUGGAGUAUUAAAGCUGUAUCUCGGCUGUACCAUUUCAGAUUACAAGGAUGGGCAAACAUGAAUGAAUUCUUCCUCAUGAAAAACAUUUCUACACCUGGAUUAAUUAAUUUAUUUUUAUUGCUGUGGAAAGUGUUUUAAUUUGCUGGUUCAGUAUUUUUAUUGGCUGUUUUCUUGGGAGGGAUCUGAUGGCUUUAUGGUUGUACUGUCAAUAUUUUGCCAUUUUUAUUGUUGCAAGCCACCGUUGCCUGGAAAGUCCCCCUAUAAGUAUUUUGAGUUAAUAAACACAAACACACAUAAUGGAGAUGUCUCUGUGACAUCUUAGACAUGUGCAGGGACUUUUUAAUCUUUGAAGGAGCAAUCACUCAGGUGAACCGCCACCUGCAGCCUGGAGUCUUGACACAGGUUUGUGCUGUUUGUAUAGAUUAAACCUCACCCUUCUCUGUACUGCAGUUUUGUGCUUGAUUUGUGAGUGUCAAUUCUGAGACCCUCUUCCUUAGGGAUACAGGGUCAGGUACUAAAUUUGCUUCAUUUAUGUCUUGACAGAAGGAGGUCUGCCUGAGGCGGUAACUGUGAGCACUUCUGUGGCUGUGACUGUAGGUGGGAAGACGGCAAUCGCUGCAGGUAGGAACUUGUUUUAAUACACUUGAGGCAUAGGGUUGAGGUUAAGGAUAGGGAAACACUUCAUUUAGUAUGAAAUUGUCUCUUUUGCAAAGUGGUAGGUGACCCAUCACUUGUCACAGAAUUUAUUGUCUGAAAUCCGUCUAUUUAAAAUUAGGCCUUAGACAAAGUCACGUGUAUAGAGUUAUUGUCAUUUUUGUGUUUGGCAAAACAUCAUAUCUCUUUCUUGCCACUUUUUCUGCACAUGCCCACUCACCAAAAAAGUCUGCUAAUUUUCAGGACUAUAGAGUUCCUGCAAAUGCCCUAAAGGGGCAUACCUGGGAAAGCUGUACAGUUCUGUGGCAGAAGGACUGGGAAGCAGCCUCUAAAGCCUCACCUGUUUGCUUUUUCAGUUAAAGGUUCCGGGCUCACCCACACUUCCUUUCAUGUCACGCUUUCUAGGCACAGGUCUGAGAUUUUUAGGUCUGUGUUCAAGCAGUGUGUAGAUAGAUAGAUAGAUAGAUAGAAUCAAUCAGGGGUUUUUUUCAGCUGGAACUCUCUGGAACUCAGGUCUGGCACCUCUCAGGUGGGCUCCAUUGCCAUUGUAAGAGAACAAGGGAGGUGUUCAUGGUGAGUUCUGGCACCUAUUUUUCUAGAAAAAUAGCACUAGGUAGGUAGGUAGAUAGAUAGGCUCUCUGCUUUCCCUCGGAAAACCCACUGUUUACCACUCAAUCUGAACAAAUGGCAAUUGAGUUUUCCAUGAAUGAUCUCUACACCUUAUCAAAUGGGCAAUUUUCAGAACAAAAAUUGAAACCUAAGACUGUUCAGCUUAGCCAUGUUAAAAGCUCUCAGUGCUUGUGAAUCUGUGAUGGCUUAGUCUUUUAAGGAUGUACAAUGUGUAGUUUGGGGGCAUUCAUGUAACUUCUUCAUGUCCUUGAAGUAGUUUAACUGAUGUCUGAGGUUUUGUAAUGGUAGCAGUGAGUGGUGAGUUCAGGAGAGAAUUGAGUGGAGAGACAGGUGUUUUGGAGAGAAUGGAGAGUGAGCGCUGCGAGGUGGCUGGAGGAAAAGGUAUUGGCUGAUAGUGACAUUUCAGAAAAUUGCUAAAAGUCAAAUGAACAAUCGGUCAUAUGUUUUACUGGUUUGUUUUGUAUUUGUAGCAUUGAAAGAAGGGAGUUGCAUUGUGAGCAUAUGUGAUCUCAUGAUACUAACGCAGCCUUAGAUGCAUUUCUUUCUAAGAACUGAAGCACGGAGUUGAGGGAAGAAGGAAGCCAAAGGAUGUGAACAGAGACCUCUGGAGAAAUCUUACACCUUGCUUAGGACCAUGUAAAAAGUGGGCUAGAACCAGAUAUAGAAGCUUCAGGAUCUGGGUGGUCAAGAAGGGGCAGAGCAUUAAAUAUCAAUUUUUUAUUAGCAAUAAGCAGCCUAAUAUUUGCUUCUGGUUAUGUUCUGGACAGAAUAUAAAAGACAAAUAUGUCAUCUUUGCCUCUGUGUAUGUCCCUGAAUACUGAGUGUUUUUCUGUACUGCUAGCUCAAUGUAGGCUGUGGCCUUUUUUAGGUGGAAACCACAUGAAGGGAGCUUCUGCAGUCUAAACCAUAUAUUUCCC